Molecule: ribosomal RNA, 606 nt
Filed under: uncultured Pseudomonadota bacterium
Lineage: Bacteria; Pseudomonadati; Pseudomonadota
Description: bacterial SSU rRNA
Rfam family: Bacterial small subunit ribosomal RNA
Source: RNAcentral
GGGGAGUACGGUCGCAAGACUGAAACUUAAAGGAAUUGACGGACUCCUACGGGAGGCAGCAGUGGGGAAUAUUGGACAAUGGGGGCAACCCUGAUCCAGCAACGCCGCGUGGGUGACGAAGGCCUUCGGGUUGUAAAGCCCUUUUCUGAGGGAAGAUAGUGACGGUACCUCAGGAAGAAGCACCGGCUAACUACGUGCCAGCAGCCGCGGUAAUACGUAGGGUGCGAGCGUUGCCCGGAUUUAUUGGGCGUAAAGGGCGUGUAGGCGGCCAACUAAGUCCGACGUGAAAUCCCCAGGCUCAACCUGGGAACUGCGUCGGAUACUGGAUGGCUUGAAUCCGGGAGAGGGAUGCAGAAUUCCAGGUGUAGCGGUGAAAUGCGUAGAGAUCAGGAGGAAUACCGAUGGCGAAGGCAGGUCCCUGGGCUGAAACUGACGCUCAUGCACGAAAGCGUGGGGAGCAAACAGGAUUAGAUACCCCGGUAGUCCUGGCCCUAAACGAUGAAUGCUUGGUGUGGCGGGUAUCGAUCCCUGCCGUGCCGAAGCUAACGCAUUAAGCAUUCCGCCUGGGGAGUACGGUCGCAAGGCUGAAACUUAAAGGAAUUGACG